AACGAACGCUGGCGGCGUGCCUAACACAUGCAAGUCGAGCGCGAAUUGGAGCAAUCCAUAGUAGAGCGGCGCACGGGUGCGUAACACGUGGGUAAUCUGCCUGGAAGCCCGGAACAACCUGCCGAAAGGCUGGCUAAUACCGGAUAAGCCUACGGACUCUUCGGAGUUUGAAGGAAAAGGUGGCCUCUGUAUACAAGCUAUCGCUUCCAGAUGAGCCCGCGGCCCAUCAGCUAGUUGGCGGGGUAAUGGCCCACCAAGGCUACGACGGGUAGCUGGU
This 277-nucleotide ribosomal RNA is filed under the name uncultured bacterium. RNAcentral describes it as "partial 16S ribosomal RNA". It matches the Rfam family "Bacterial small subunit ribosomal RNA", at positions 29 to 291 of the family's 1533-position model. The record is from RNAcentral.